This 908-nucleotide ribosomal RNA is filed under the name uncultured Bacillota bacterium. Its description in RNAcentral is "bacterial SSU rRNA". It matches the Rfam family "Bacterial small subunit ribosomal RNA", at positions 1 to 917 of the family's 1533-position model. Lineage: Bacteria; Bacillati; Bacillota. The record is from RNAcentral.
GGAUCCAGACUUUUGAUCAUUGGCUCAGGACGAACGCUGGCGGCGCGCCUAACACAUUGCAAGUCGAACGAGCGAGAGAGAGCUUUGCUUUCUCAAGCGAGUGGCGAACGGGUGAGUAACGCGUGAGGAACCUGCCUCAAAGAGGGGGACAACAGUUGGAAACGACUGCUAAUACCGCAUAAGCCCACGGCUCGGCAUCGAGCAGAGGGAAAAGGAGCAAUCCGCUUUGAGAUGGCCUCGCGUCCGAUUAGCUAGUUGGUGAGGUAAUGGCCCACCAAGGCGACGAUCGGUAGCCGGACUGAGAGGUUGAACGGCCACAUUGGGACUGAGACACGGCCCAGACUCCUACGGGAGGCAGCAGUGGGGAAUAUUGCACAAUGGGGGAAACCCUGGUGCAGCGACGCCGCGUGGAGGAAGAAGGUCUUCGGAUUGUAAACUCCUGUUGUUGAGGAAGAUAAUGACGGUACUCAACAAGGAAGUGACGGCUAACUACGUGCCAGCAGCCGCGGUAAAACGUAGGUCACAAGCGUUGUCCGGAAUUACUGGGUGUAAAGGGAGCGCAGGCGGGAAGACAAGUUGGAAGUGAAAUCCAUGGGCUCAACCCAUGAACUGCUUUCAAAACUGUUUUUCUUGAGUAGUGCAGAGGUAGGCGGAAUUCCCGGUGCAGCGGUGGAAUGCGUAGAUAUCGGGAGGAACACCAGUGGCGAAGGCGGCCUACUGGGCACCAACUGACGCUGAGGCUCGAAAGUGUGGGUAGCAAACGGGAUUAGAUACCCUGGUAGUCCACACUGUAAACGAUGAUUACUAGGUGUUGGAGGAUUGACCCCUUCAGUGCCGCAAGUUAACACAAAUAAGUAAUCCACCUGGGGAGUACGACCGCAAGGUUGCAACUCAAAGGAAUUGACGGA